AGGAAUGCAAACGGGUCAAUGAAAUUAAAAUAGUAGAAGCCUUGCCUAUUCAUGUAGGUGAGGUGGCCACAUACUAUAAAGAUUAUGAGAGAGAGAGAGCGGGGAGUGACCGCGUUGAAAAAUGUUCAACUGGUUUUAAAAGGCCAUAAACAGACAUGCUCUGCAACUGCUGUGUUCUUGGCUCCUCUUCCUAUAAACACCAACACCUCUCUUUGGCUUCUUUUGUGUUUUGUUUUUUCGUGUUAGCUAGCUAGUUGUUUGUUUGUUUUUUUGUUGGCUGGCUAACCUUUUUAUGCAUCAAUCUAGAUACUACUACUUCCAGCUUUGGCGUGCUCUGAUAAAAGAUAACUACAGCACACACAGGGAGAGGGAGAAGAGAUAAACAGUGACAGAGAGAGUUGGGGAUUGGGCAAAAGGUUUUUCUUUUUCCCUUCGAAGAGAGAGUUUCUUGUUUCUUUUCAUUUCCUUUCUUUUUGUUUUUUUACUUCUUUUUCUUGUAAAGAAUGAUUGGUUACAAGGCUGAACUGAAGUGAAAGUCUGGUCUUGGUGACACAAAAGAAAAGAAAAAAAAUCUUUUGAGUUUCUUGAUCAUGAAAGAUUGCCAAAAUACAACAUGCGGGGUGCUGCUUUGAAGGGAUUGGGUUCGUUGAGCCUUCUUUUCAUAUUUUCUUGUUCUUUUGGAAGUUUCUUGUCUUAAAUUCAAUUAGUUUUACAUUAUUCAGCAGCAAGAUCAAAUUUGUCUACAAAUUCAUCUAGGCGUCAACACACUCUUUGUAUAGCCAUAUUAAGAUAAAAGAAGCUGCAGCAGAGCGUGUGUAGCGUUAGCAUAAAAAAAAGAAUUUAUUAUUGUUCAAGAAACAAGCAAGAAAGACGUUCAUUCCAUCAGAAGAAAUUUCACAAAUUACAUUUUAUCUUCUCUCUCUCUUUCUUUUUCUAUGGAGUACAAUCAAUCUUCAGAAAUGCAAGAACCCAGCAUCGACACUGACAAACUCAGCUACGAAAUCUUUUCAGUUCUUGAAAGCAAAUUUCUUUUCGGCUAUGAUGAUCAGAAACUCUGGGUUCCUAAACAGAUCUCUCCUGCAACAAUCGAAGCAAAACCCGAGUCACAGAAUCCUUCUUUUCUCACAGAAAACAACAGCAACGGGCUGUCUGCAAUCAAGAAUCAACGAGGGAAAAUCUGCAUAUUGUCUAUUGAUGGUGGUAGCAGUCUAAAAGGGAUUAUUUCAGGGAAAGCAUUGGCUUAUCUUGAAAACGCUUUGAAAUUGAAAUCAGGUAACCCUGACGCCAGAAUUGCUGAUUAUUUUGAUGUGGCAGCCGGAACUGGAAUUGGUGGAAUCUUCACGGCUAUGCUUUUUGGCACCAAAGAUCAUAACCGUCCGAUUAUGAAAGCUGAGGAGACUUGGAGAUUUUUAGCUGAUCAGGGUAAGAAAUUGUUCACUUCUGGUAACAGAAAUGUUGGGUUCUUAAAGCGGUUUUUCAAAGGGAGCUCAACCGGUACGACCGCUGCCACAGCCGGUUUAGAGAAGGCCAUGAAAGAGACUUUUACUGAGAAGGGCCGGAAUUUGACUUUGAAGGAUACUUUAAAACCGGUUUUGAUCCCUUGUUAUGAUCUUUCCAGUACGGCGCCGUUUUUGUUUUCUAGAGCAGAUGCCUUGGAAACGGACAGUUUCGAUUUCCGGAUUUGGGAGGUUUGUCGGGCUACAUCAGCUGAACCGGGCUUGUUUGACCCUGUUUUAAUGCGGUCCGUUGAUGGUCAGACCAGAUGUUUGGCAGUUGAUGGUGGUUUAGCCAUGAGCAACCCGACCGCGGCAGCCAUAACUCACGUGCUGCAUAAUAAGCAGGAGUUUCCGUUCGUUAGAGGAGUCGAGGAUUUGUUGGUGUUAUCAUUAGGGACCGGUCAAAUUCUUGAGGUUAGCUAUGAUUAUGAGCAGGUUAAGAAUUGGAGGGCCAAGCAGUGGGCUCGACCGAUGGCUCGGAUUUCAGGUGAUGGUUCGGCUGAUUCAGUGGACCAGGCAGUGGCCAUGGCAUUUGGUCAGUGUAGAAGCAGUAACUACGUAAGAAUUCAGGCAAAUGGGUCCAAUCUGGGAAGAUGUGGACCUAAUGCGGACACAGACCCCAGCCCUAACAAUGUAAAGAUGAUGAUUGGGAUAGCAGAGGAAAUGUUGAAGCAGAAAAAUGUAGAAUCUGUACUGUUUGGUGGUAAGAGGAUUGGAGAGCAAAGCAAUUUUGAGAAACUUGAUUGGUUUGCUGAACAGCUUGUUCUUGAGCAUCAGAGGAGGAGCUGCAGAAUUGCUCCCACUGUUGCUUUCAAGCAAGCUGCCACCAAAACAGCCUAAGAUUAUUCUCAACAAUGUCAAGACCAAAACCAAACAUUAAAAAAAAAUGUAAGCUCUUUCUUUCCAUUUACUGUGUGAUAACCCUGUAUCUUUACAUGCUAUUGUCUCAAAUCUGAAGGCAUCUUACUGAACCCUACUUUGAAUGUAAAUGAUCAAGCGGGGACACUCAUGAUACAAGAGGGAAACGCUAGAGGGGUUCAAGUAUUUUUCACCUCAGGCUUUCAGAAAUCUUGCUGGGGUUUGGGAAUUUACGAGUUUGAAAAGUUUGUAUUUCAGUUUUUUUAUCAUUACUUCAAAUCUGAUUUUGCCUUUCCAGCUUUGAAAUGUCCCUGUCCAUUGAAAACCAGUAUUGCACCUGCCCGAAAAUGAACACUCCUCCUUGGGGACUAAGUUAAGCCAUCACAUUUAGCUCAUGCACUCUUAUUAUUGCAGUGCAUGACCCUUGGAACCUAAACCAAAGCUCUUGUCUUGUACAAAUUCGGUUGUCUUAAAUAAAUGGACGUAAAAAGCAGCAGGUAAUAGCCUAGAAUUGUCAUUUAGUGAAUUCGUGGGCUCGCCUUGUCAUUUUCAUUGUUUGAUUAGAAAGCUCAAACAACCACAUAGCAACCAGUUGUUAUCGUCUUUGUUGAAGAUAAAAGUCAGGGGAUGUAAGAAGUAUGCAAAUUGGUGAUGUGGGGAAGCCAUUCUCAAUUGUUGUCGGUCGACCGACACUGAUUCUUGUGAUAGAUUAGGGAUAUCUUGGUCAUUCUAUGGCACUACCUCACGGUUCCUGCUUCUGUGUCAUUCAUAGAUGAACCAAAUCAUUGAGGGUGCUUGAAGGUAUAUCCAUGGUACCCCAAAAAGAAUUCUCUUUUAUCAUUGUUUGCUUCACUGUUAGGACAGAGCUGAAUUCUAUGUCCUCGUCCCAACACUCUAGCCUAUAAAUCAAAUGUCAGUCGUAUGCUAAAGGAACCCUGCUUGUAAAUAUUGGCUAUGCUGUCACAUCUUUUUAUUGCCUUCAAAGUUCCCUAAUGUCACUGGGUUCUUGGACUGAUGUGGAGAGGGGAACUGUUGCCAUUAUUUCAUUUAAAGUUUCAAGGGCUGCAUUUAGAACAUCUGAGGUGAAAAAUAGAUUUUAAGAAACAAAAAAGAGAGAGUGAUAUAGCAGCUUUUACUUUUCAAAGCCAUGAAGAUAGCGAGAGAAGGAGAGGGAAUUGUGUGAAAAAGGACAAGAGAAACAUAAAAGGGUAGAAGAUCUUAGUGGGAUACUUUGCCUGCUAGGUGAUGGACAUGGUGGUGUCCACUCCACUUUUCUACCACGGUAAGGAACCAGGAAAGAAAAGAAACACAGAAGAAAACGCAGAUAUAAUGCCAGUUCAGCUUUUGAAGGUCAAACCAAGUAUCAGGUUUUGAUGUCUGGAAGACUCUUUGCAUAUUUUAUUUCUUUAAUUUAUUUACAUUCUUAUUUAGAAUCGCUCAUCUCUCUGGGGAACUUGAGUGGGGGUGCAUGAUGGGCUCCUUGUCAUAGAACCCCUAGAUAUAUAGCCAAAGUUCUUUAUCCGACCUUUGCUCCCUUUUCAUCAUUUCUUUUCUUUUCUUCCAAUAGAUUGUAGUGUUGAAGAAUAGAUUUGAGAGUAAUUCUACCAAACCUGCUAAAUUGAUAUUAUUUUAAUAUAUUUUAAAACAAUAA
Molecule: RNA transcript, 4005 nt
Organism: Populus trichocarpa (black cottonwood)
Lineage: Eukaryota; Viridiplantae; Streptophyta; Magnoliopsida; Malpighiales; Salicaceae
Gene name: patatin-like protein 6
Exons: 3
Source: RefSeq, a predicted model, not a curated record